This is an unclassified non-coding RNA of Cavia aperea (Brazilian guinea pig), 316 nucleotides long. It matches the Rfam family "Metazoan signal recognition particle RNA". Rfam says of the family: The signal recognition particle (SRP) is a universally conserved ribonucleoprotein. It is involved in the co-translational targeting of proteins to membranes. The eukaryotic SRP consists of a 300-nucleotide 7S RNA and six proteins: SRPs 72, 68, 54, 19, 14, and 9. The record is from Ensembl. NCBI's taxonomy places the organism in Eukaryota, Metazoa, Chordata, Mammalia, Rodentia, Caviidae.
GCCAGGUGUGGUGGCGCGCGCUUGUAGUCCCAGCUACUGGGGAGGCUGAGGUGGGAGGAUCGCUUGAGUCCAGGAGUUCUGGGCUGCAGUGUGCUAUGGCGAUCGGGCGUCCACACUAAGUUAGGCAUCAAUAUGGUGAUCUCCCGGGAGCGGGGGACUACCUGGUUGCCUAAGGAGGGAUGAACUGGCCCAGGUCAGAAGAAAGUAAAAAGAAGUCAGGUGUGGCAGUGCACGCUUGUAAUCCCAGCACUCAGGAGGCUAAGGUGGAAGGGUUGAUGCAAGUUUGAGAUCAGCCUGGGCUACAAAGUGAAUUCAA